Molecule: ribosomal RNA, 974 nt
Filed under: uncultured bacterium
Lineage: Bacteria
Description: bacterial SSU rRNA
Rfam family: Bacterial small subunit ribosomal RNA
Source: RNAcentral
AUGCAAGUCGAGCGCUCUCUUCGGAGGGAGCGGCGGACGGGUUAGUAACGCGUGGGAAUAUGCCCUUCUCUACGGAAUAGCCUCGGGAAACUGAGAGUAAUACCGUAUACGCCCUUCGGGGGAAAGAUUUAUCGGAGAAGGAUUAGCCCGCGUUGGAUUAGGUAGUUGGUGGGGUAAUGGCCUACCAAGCCGACGAUCCAUAGCUGGUUUGAGAGGAUGAUCAGCAACACUGGGACUGAGACACGGCCCAGACUCCUACGGGAGGCAGCAGUGGGGAAUCUUAGACAAUGGGGGAAACCCUGAUCUAGCCAUGCCGCGUGAGUGACGAAGGCCCUAGGGUCGUAAAGCUCUUUCGCCAGGGAUGAUAAUGACAGUACCUGGUAAAGAAACCCCGGCUAACUCCGUGCCAGCAGCCGCGGUAAUACGGAGGGGGUUAGCGUUGUUCGGAAUUACUGGGCGUAAAGCGCACGUAGGCGGACUAUUAAGUCAGGGGUGAAAUCCCGGGGCUCAACCCCGGAACUGCCUCUGAUACUGGUAGUCUUGAGUUCGAGAGAGGUGAGUGGAAUUCCGAGUGUAGAGGUGAAAUUCGUAGAUAUUCGGAGGAACACCAGUGGCGAAGGCGGCUCACUGGCUCGAUACUGACGCUGAGGUGCGAAAGCGUGGGGAGCAAAACAGGAUUAGAUACCCUGGUAGUCCACGCCGUAAAACGAUGAAUGCCCAGACGUCAGGAGGCUUUGCCUCUUGGUGUCACACCUAACGGAUUAAGCAUUUCCGCCUGGGGGAGUACGGUUCGCAAGAUUAAAACUCAAAGGAAUUUGACGGGGGGCCCGCACAAGCGGUGGAGCAUGUGGUUUUAAUUCGAAAGCAACGCGCCAGACCUUUACCAACCCUUUGACAUCCCUGAUCGCGGUUUACCCGGAGACCGGUUUCCCUUCAGUUUCGGCUUGAAUCAGUGACAGGUGCUUGCAUGGCUG